UGAGUCGGCCGGGCGGUCGCGUCGAGAGUUCGCUCUCGCCGAGGAAAGUCCGGGCUCCACAGGGCAGGGUGAUGGCUAACAGCCACCCGGGGCGACCCGCGGGAAAGUGCCACAGAGAACAGACCGCCACGCUCAUGAGCGCGGCAAGGGUGAAACGGUGGUGCAAGAGACCACCAGCGCCCCAGGCGACUGGGGCGGCUCGGUAAACCCCACCCGGAGCAAGAUCAGACAGCAUGCGUCGAAGCGGCCCGCUGAGCAUGUGGGUAGAUCGCUCGAGCCCUGCAGCAAUGCAGGGCCUAGAUGGAUGAUCGCCGAAGCGAUGCCAGCAAUGGCGCGCGGAACACAACCCGGCUUAUAGGCCGACUCAUCCC
This is a non-coding RNA of Dermacoccus nishinomiyaensis, 371 nucleotides long. It matches the Rfam family "Bacterial RNase P class A". From Rfam's summary of the family: Ribonuclease P (RNase P) is a ubiquitous endoribonuclease, found in archaea, bacteria and eukarya as well as chloroplasts and mitochondria. Its best characterised activity is the generation of mature 5'-ends of tRNAs by cleaving the 5'-leader elements of precursor-tRNAs. The record is from Rfam. NCBI's taxonomy places the organism in Bacteria, Bacillati, Actinomycetota, Actinomycetes, Micrococcales, Dermacoccaceae.